RNAcentral lists this ribosomal RNA (492 nucleotides) under uncultured bacterium. Its description in RNAcentral is "partial 16S ribosomal RNA". It matches the Rfam family "Bacterial small subunit ribosomal RNA", at positions 28 to 507 of the family's 1533-position model. The record is from RNAcentral.
GAUGAACGCUAGCUACAGGCUUAACACAUGCAAGUCGAGGGGAAACGACAUCGAAAGCUUGCUUUUGAUGGGCGUCGACCGGCGCACGGGUGAGUAACGCGUAUCCAACCUGCCCAUCACUUGGGAAUAACCUUGCGAAAGUAAGACUAAUACCCAAUUAUAUCCCACGAAGGCAUCGGAAUGGGAUUAAAGAUUUAUCGGUGAUGGAUGGUGAUGCGUCUGAUUAGCUUGUUGGCGGGGUAACGGCCCACCAAGGCAACGAUCAGUAAGGGUUCUGAGAGGAAGGUCCACGACAAGGGAAGUGGGAAACGGUAGAAACGCCUACGGGAGGGAGCAGUGAGGAAGAUUAGUCAAUGGGAGAGAGCAUGAACCAGCCAAGUAGCGUGCAGGAAGACGGGCGUAGGGGUUGUAAACUGCUUUUAUAAGGGAAUAAAGUGGGUCACGUGUGACUUUUUGCAUGUACCUUAUGAAUAAGGACCGGCUAAUUCCGUG